RNAcentral lists this ribosomal RNA (489 nucleotides) under uncultured bacterium. RNAcentral describes it as "partial 16S ribosomal RNA". It matches the Rfam family "Bacterial small subunit ribosomal RNA", at positions 28 to 507 of the family's 1533-position model. The record is from RNAcentral.
GACGAACGCUGGCGGCGUGCUUAACACAUGCAAGUCGAACGGUGAAGGGAUCAGCUUGCUGGUUCUGGAUGAGUGGCGAACGGGUGAGUAACACGUGAGUAACCUGCCCCCUUCUUCUGGAUAACCGCAUGAAAGUGUGGCUAAUACGGGAUAUUCUGGGUCUGUCGCAUGAUGGGUCUGGGAAAGAUAUUGUUUCGGUGUGGGAUGGGCUCGCGGCCUAUCAGCUUGUUGGUGGGGUGAUGGCCUACCAAGGCGGUGACGGGUAGCCGGCCUGAGAGGGUGGACGGUCACACUGGGACUGAGACACGGCCCAGACUCCUACGGGAGGCAGCAGUGGGGAAUAUUGCACAAUGGGCGCAAGCCUGAUGCAGCGACGCCGCGUGAGGGAUGGAGGCCUUCGGGUUGUAAACCUCUUUCGCCAGUGAAGCAGGCCUGCUCCUUGUGGGUGGGUUGACGGUAGCUGGAUAAGAAGCGCCGGCUAACUACGUG